RNAcentral lists this long non-coding RNA (1868 nucleotides) under Homo sapiens (human). Its description in RNAcentral is "non-protein coding lnc-LEPROTL1-7:1". The record is from RNAcentral. Lineage: Eukaryota; Metazoa; Chordata; Mammalia; Primates; Hominidae.
AAAAUGCAUAGAUGUCAUUGAUCAUAAUUGAAAAAAAUAAAAAUGACAAUAGGGGAGCUAAACUUCAUAUAUGUUAUAUAUUGCUAUGUUACAAGCUAGGCUGAAACUUAGUGGCUUAAAGACAUAACAAUUUAUUAUUUCUCCUGAAUCUGUAGGAUGGCUGGGCAGUUAUUCUGUUGACCUUACCUGCAUGUCCUGAUGUGGCUACAUUUGUUGGCAGGGACUGGGCUCCACUGGGAUGGCUAGACCUCUGUCUAUUUGAUUUUAUAUCCUUAAGGCGCCUAAACUGGCCUUUUUCACAUGGCAACAUAAAUGUCCACAAGGGAAUCCCCAGUGCAAAGUGCUUAUCAAGUCUCUGCUAGCCUCUUAUUUGCUUAUGCCCUGCAAGCCAGAGAAAGUCACAUGGCUGGGCACGGUGGCUCACGCCUGUAAUCCCAACACUUUGGGAGGCCGAGGCAAGCAGAUGACUUGAGGUCAGUAGUUCGAGACCAGCCUGGCCAACAUGGUGAAACCCCGUCUCUGCUAAAAAUACAAAAAUUAGCCAGACCUGGUGGCGAGCGCCUGUAAUCCCAGCUACUUGGGAGGCUGAGGCAGGAGAAUCACUUGAACCCAGGAGGUGGAGUUUGCAGUGAGCCGAGAUCACACCAUAGCACUCCAGCCUGUGCGACAGAAUGAAACUCCAUCUCAAAAAAAAAAAAAAAAUGUCAUAUAGCCAACUCCAGCAUCAAGACAGGAAGACUGCAAGGGUUUGGAUACUAAAAAGAGAAAUUCACUGGAGGCCUUUAAUAUAUAACACUCUCAGCCAGGCACAGUGGCUCACUCCUGUAAUUCCAACACUUUGGGAGGCCCAGGCAGUUAGAUGGCUUGAGCACAGGAGUUCGAGAUCAGCCUAGACAACAUGGCAAAACCCCAUCUCUACAAAAGAUACAAAAAUUAGCCAGGUGUGGUGGCACGCACCUGUAGUCCCAGCUACUCAGGAGGCUGAGGUGGGAGGAUGGCUUGAACCUUGGAGGCAGAGGUUGCAGUGAACUGAGAUCGUGCCACUGGGCCUGGACGACAGAGCCUGGGCGCCCAGCCUGGGCGAUAGAGCCACACUUGGCAAAAAAAAAUAAUAAUAAAUACAUAUAUAUAAUAUAAACCCACUUGGGCUGCUAUAACAAAAUACACAGAAGGGAUGGCUUAAGCAAUAUAAUAUUUUUAAGCAGCCUUUAAUUUUUAUUCUAAAAAAGUUUGAAUUUACACAAAAAUACAGAGAAUAGUAUAGUUAACCCAUUAUGUCUGUCAUCUAGCUUCUUUUUUAUUUUUCAAUAGUUUUUGGGAAACAGGUGGUGUUUGGUUGCAUGGAAAACUUCUUUAGUGGUGAUUUCUGAGAUUUUGGUGCACCCAUCACUCAGGCAGUGUACACUGCACCCAAUGUGUAGCUUUCACUUAGCAUAACAUUUUCAAGAUUCAUCCACGUUGUAGCAUGUAUUACUAUUUCACUUUUUUAUGGCUAAAUAAUAUUUCUUUGCAUGGAUAUACCACUUUUAUUUAUCGUUCAUUAGUAAUGGACAUUUGAAUUGUUUCUACUUUUUGGCUAUUAUGAAUAAUGCUGCUAUGUAUAUUUGUAUGCAAGUUUUUGUGUGGACAUGUGUUUUCAAUUCUCUUGGGUGUAUAUACCUUGGAGUGGAAUGACUGAGGCAUACAUGGUAACUCUACAUUUAAACUUUUGAGGAACUGCCAAUUUUCCAAAGCAGCUGGACCAUUUCACAUUCCCAACAGCAGUGUAUGAGGGUUCCAAUUUCUCGACAUCCUCACCAGCCUUGUUAUCUUUUUUAUUAUAGCCUUCCUACUGAGUGUGAAGUGGUAUCUUACUGUGGCUUUGAUUU